This 567-nucleotide ribosomal RNA is filed under the name uncultured bacterium. Its description in RNAcentral is "bacterial SSU rRNA". It matches the Rfam family "Bacterial small subunit ribosomal RNA", at positions 123 to 677 of the family's 1533-position model. The record is from RNAcentral.
AAUCUGCCCCGAUGACCGGGACAACCCGAGGAAACUCGGGCUAAUACCGGAUGUGGUGCACGGAUUUAAGUCUGUGUACUAAAGGAAGCUUCGGCCUCCGCAUUGGGAGGAGCUCGCGGCCCAUUAGCUUGUUGGUGGGGUAACGGCCUACCAAGGCGACGAUGGGUAGCUGGUCUGAGAGGACGAUCAGCCACACUGGGACUGAGACACGGCCCAGACUCCUACGGGAGGCAGCAGUGGGGAAUCUUGCGCAAUGCGCGAAAGCGUGACGCAGCAACGCCGCGUGGGGGAAGACGGCCUUCGGGUUGUAAACCCCUUNCAGGAGGGACGAAGGUUCACCGGUGAAUAGCCGAGUGGAUUGACGGUACCUCCACAAGAAGCUCCGGCUAACUACGUGCCAGCAGCCGCGGUAAUACGUAGGGAGCAAGCGUUGUCCGGAAUCAUUGGGCGUAAAGCGCGCGUAGGUGGCCACAUAAGUCCGUUGUGAAAGUCAAAGGCUCAACCUUUGAAAGCCGAUGGAUACUGUGUGGCUAGAGUACGGAAGAGGCGAGUGGAAUUCCUGGUGUA